CGCGCAGGCGGCUUCCCAAGUCCCUCUUAAAAGUGCGGGGCUUAACCCCGUGAUGGGAAGGAAACUGGGAAGCUGGAGUAUCGGAGAGGAAAGUGGAAUUCCUAGUGUAGCGGUGAAAUGCGUAGAGAUUAGGAAGAACACCGGUGGCGAAGGCGACUUUCUGGACGAAAACUGACGCUGAGGCGCGAAAGCGUGGGGAGCAAACA
Molecule: ribosomal RNA, 206 nt
Filed under: uncultured bacterium
Lineage: Bacteria
Description: partial 16S ribosomal RNA
Rfam family: Bacterial small subunit ribosomal RNA
Source: RNAcentral